Molecule: long non-coding RNA, 545 nt
Organism: Neoarius graeffei (lesser salmon catfish)
Lineage: Eukaryota; Metazoa; Chordata; Actinopteri; Siluriformes; Ariidae
Exons: 3
Source: RefSeq, a predicted model, not a curated record
CCGAAGCUGGCCCCUCAACAUCGGGCAGCACUAAGAGUCUUAGAUCCAGGUCAGCACUGCCUAUGUCCAGCUCAGGUCCCGUCCUUCCUGCCCUGUGCAUUAUAUGUAAAAAAAAAAACCCUCAAAUUCGUCUUAAAGGGAGGCAAACGACAAAGGGAAGCUCUUUCAAAAGCUGAGACCUUAACAGCAGGCAAGUUGCAGACUGCUGCUGAGACUAAAGAUGACCACAGUAUUCUGGUACACAUUAAGGACAAAGACUGUGUGGCUCUGGAGGUGCAGUACCACAAGAGCUGCUACCAGCAGUACACCAGAUUUCUGAAUGAGCCUGCUAGACAAGAGAAGGACAAGUCAUUGCCUGGAUGCUGACCCCUGCCUUUUUGCACCGUGCCACAGGACUUUAUAUAUAUAUAUAUAUAUAUAUAUAUAUAUAUAUAUAUAUAUAUAUAUAUAUAUAUAUAUAUAUAUAUAUAUAAUUUUUGUGUGUAUAUAUAAAUUUGCAUUUGUAAUGUGUAUAUAUCACUGUUUUGUUGUUUACAUUUUCUAUU